CUGUCAGUCUUUUCAGUAGAUUACUAUAUUUUCUUGUUGGACAAACUUAUAGUAGGUGGUUGCUGGUUACGAGGGUUAUAAACCAAACGUUGAAGUCCUUUUCUUUUCUUUUUUUUCUUUUUUUUUAAAAUACAAAUAGUAAUCUAAAUUACCAUAAAAAUUUGAAUGAAAUGAAAAUAACAUUGUUUUAUUAUCUUUGGCUAAUCACAGACUGCCACGUAGAAAAGUUAUAUCAUACAUAGCAUACCAUGAU
RNAcentral lists this long non-coding RNA (253 nucleotides) under Prunus persica (peach). Its description in RNAcentral is "long non-coding RNA (PPER_LNC007583)". Lineage: Eukaryota; Viridiplantae; Streptophyta; Magnoliopsida; Rosales; Rosaceae. The record is from RNAcentral.